This 907-nucleotide ribosomal RNA is filed under the name Pseudomurilentithecium camporesii. RNAcentral describes it as "SSU rRNA". The stretch from base 226 to 907 matches the Rfam family "Eukaryotic small subunit ribosomal RNA", at positions 1 to 1103 of the family's 1831-position model. Lineage: Eukaryota; Fungi; Ascomycota; Dothideomycetes; Pleosporales; Lentitheciaceae. The record is from RNAcentral.
CUGGUGGAAGUUAGCUUCUCGUAUUGCUGACGCCAGAGAAAGUCGGGCACCGUCAGGUGUUAUGCCGGGCUAGUCGAGUAUCUAUCUCGUGAUGGGCAGAUACCGGCAAGACAACCUUUGAUCGGGGAAGGCUACGGCAUUUCGAUGCUACGCCAAUCCCGGGCAGAGCUUCCGCAAAGGGAUUUGUGGAUAGCCUGUGUAGAGCGCAGAAAGGUGUCGGCUACCUAUCAAGUAGCUUGAGGGAUGUGCCAUUCCCAUCCGAAAGGGUGGCUGCCAGCAUUAGCGCCCAUCACGCAAAGGCUGGCAGGUUUAAGCUUUGGGACAAGCGUUGGGUUGCCAUUGCGCAUUUGUCUUGAAGUUUGGGGAGUUCAAAAGGCCAGCAGCCGCGGUAAUUCCAGCUCCAAUAGCGUAUAUUAAAGUUGUUGCAGUUAAAAAGCUCGUAGUUGAACCUUUGGCCUGGCUGGCGGGUCCGCCUCACCGCGUGCACUUGUCCGGCCGGGCCUUCUUCUCUGGAGAACCGCAUGCCCUUCACUGGGUGUGUUGGGGACCAGGACUUUUACUUUGAAAAAAUUAGAGUGUUCAAAGCAGGCCUUUGCUCGAAUACGUUAGCAUGGAAUAAUAGAAUAGGACGUGCGGUCCUAUUUUGUUGGUUUCUAGGACCGCCGUAAUGAUUAAUAGGGACAGUCGGGGGCAUCAGUAUUCAAUUGUCAGAGGUGAAAUUCUUGGAUUUAUUGAAGACUAACUACUGCGAAAGCAUUUGCCAAGGAUGUUUUCAUUAAUCAGUGAACGAAAGUUAGGGGAUCGAAGACGAUCAGAUACCGUCGUAGUCUUAACCAUAAACUAUGCCGACUAGGGAUUGGGCGGUGCUAUUAUGUUGGCUCGCUCAGCACCUUACGAGAAAUCAAAG